UACGUAAGGACGAGCGUUGUCCGGAAUCAUUGGGCGAUAAAGAGCGUGUGAUGGCGGCCACUUAAGUCCUGCGAUCGGAAAUCUUGCGGCUGACAACCGCAAGCGGUCGUGGGAAACUGGGUGGCUAGAGUGCGGGAGAGGAGGAGUGGAAUUCCUGGUGUAGCGGUGGAAUGCGCAGAUAUCAGGAAGAACAACCCGUGGCGAAGGCGGCGCUCCUGGAACGCAACUGACGCUGAGACGCGAAAGCGUGGGGGAGCAAACAGG
RNAcentral lists this ribosomal RNA (264 nucleotides) under uncultured bacterium. RNAcentral describes it as "partial 16S ribosomal RNA". It matches the Rfam family "Bacterial small subunit ribosomal RNA", at positions 524 to 776 of the family's 1533-position model. The record is from RNAcentral.